This 771-nucleotide ribosomal RNA is filed under the name uncultured bacterium. RNAcentral's name for it is "bacterial SSU rRNA". It matches the Rfam family "Bacterial small subunit ribosomal RNA", at positions 101 to 857 of the family's 1533-position model. The record is from RNAcentral.
AACGGGUGAGUAACACGUGGGAAAUCUGCCUAGGAGUGGGGGAUAACAUUCGGAAACGGAUGCUAAUACCGCAUAUCUUUUUGAACCGCAUGGUUCUUAAACGAAAGACGGCCUCGGCUGUCGCUCUUAGAUGAUCCCGCGGCGUAUUAGUUAGUUGGUGGGGUAAAGGCCUACCAAGACCAUGAUACGUAGCCGACCUGAGAGGGUGAUCGGCCACACUGGGACUGAGACACGGCCCAGACUCCUACGGGAGGCAGCAGUAGGGAAUCUUCCACAAUGGGUGAAAACCUGAUGGAGCAAUGCCGCGUGAAUGAAGAAGGUCUUCGGAUCGUAAAGUUCUGUUAUUAGAGAAGAACAAGUCAAGGAGUAACUGUCUUGACUUUGACGGUACCUAACCAGAAAGUCACGGCUAACUACGUGCCAGCAGCCGCGGUAAUACGUAGGUGACAAGCGUUGUCCGGAAUUAUUGGGCGUAAAGGGAGCGCAGGCGGUUGGAAUAGUCUGAUGUGAAAGCCCACGGCUUAACCGUGGAAGGUCAUUGGAAACUGUCCAACUUGAAUACAGAAGAGGUAAGUGGAAUUCCAAGUGUAGCGGUGAAAUGCGUAGAUAUUUGGAGGAACACCAGUGGCGAAGGCGACUUACUGGUCUGUAAUUGACGCUGAGGCUCGAAAGCGUGGGUAGCAAACAGGAUUAGAUACCCUGGUAGUCCACGCCGUAAACGAUGAGUGCUAAGUGUUAGGGGGUUUCCGCCCCUUAGUGCUGGAGUUAACG